GGCCUCGUAGCUAAGUUGACUAGAGCGUUUGGCUGUAUGAAAGCCUUCCCCUUGCUGGCGUGGGGUCAAAUCCCACCGAGGCCG
Molecule: transfer RNA, 84 nt
Filed under: Schistocephalus solidus
Lineage: Eukaryota; Metazoa; Platyhelminthes; Cestoda; Diphyllobothriidea; Diphyllobothriidae
Rfam family: tRNA
About the family: Transfer RNA (tRNA) molecules are approximately 80 nucleotides in length. Their secondary structure includes four short double-helical elements and three loops (D, anti-codon, and T loops).
Source: Rfam by way of RNAcentral